This 37-nucleotide ribosomal RNA is filed under the name Schizothyrium emperorae. Its description in RNAcentral is "partial 18S ribosomal RNA". Lineage: Eukaryota; Fungi; Ascomycota; Dothideomycetes; Mycosphaerellales; Schizothyriaceae. The record is from RNAcentral.
CUCAAGGCUCUCGACGGUGACCUGCGGAGGGAUCAUU